CCGUACUAGACGGGGAGCCAGCGGUGCCCUCUAUCCGCAAUCCGCUAUAGCGGAGUUGAAUUCCUCCCCUCGGCUAGGCUAGAGGUCCUAUAUUGUGGGUGGUGAUAUAGAGGGUUGGGUCCCGCGCGACGUAGACUUGUGAACCCCGCCAGAUCCGGAAGGAAGCAACGGUAAACAGGAUCCUGCGGGCGCCGAGGGAGUGCCUGGCCUGAGUCAUCAUUCAUAACAUGCCCGAUGGUCUUGACAACGGGAGGUGUACG
RNAcentral lists this signal recognition particle RNA (260 nucleotides) under marine eukaryotic metagenome. RNAcentral's name for it is "Bacterial large signal recognition particle RNA". It matches the Rfam family "Bacterial large signal recognition particle RNA". Rfam says of the family: The signal recognition particle (SRP) is a universally conserved ribonucleoprotein involved in the co-translational targeting of proteins to membranes. The record is from RNAcentral.